CCUACGGGAGGCAGCAGUGGGGAAUAUUGCACAAUGGGGGAAACCCUGAUGCAGCGACGCCGCGUGAGUGAAGAAGUAUUUCGGUACGUAAAGCUCUAUCAGCAGGGAAGAAAAUGACGGUACCUGACUAAGAAGCCCCGGCUAACUACGUGACAGCAGCCGCGGUAAUACGUAGGGGGCAAGCGUUAUCCGGAUUUACUGGGGGUAAAGGGAGCGUAGACGGCAGCGCAAGUCUGGAGUGAAAUCCCAUGGCUUAACCAUGGAACUGCUUUGGAAACUGUGCAGCUAGAGUGCAGGAGAGGUAAGCGGAAUUCCUGGUGUAGCGGUGAAAUGCGUAGAUAUUAGGAGGAACACCAGUGGCGAAGGCGGCUUACUGGACUGUAACUGACGUUGAGGCUCGAAAGCGUGGGGAGCAAACAGGAUUAGAUACCCCUGUAGUC
Molecule: ribosomal RNA, 440 nt
Filed under: uncultured bacterium
Lineage: Bacteria
Description: partial 16S ribosomal RNA
Rfam family: Bacterial small subunit ribosomal RNA
Source: RNAcentral